Long non-coding RNA from Oncorhynchus nerka (sockeye salmon), 531 nucleotides. RefSeq lists it as uncharacterized. NCBI's taxonomy places the organism in Eukaryota, Metazoa, Chordata, Actinopteri, Salmoniformes, Salmonidae. The record is from RefSeq and is a predicted model, not a curated record. The transcript has 2 exons.
AGAUCUUCGGGGGACCAGAGUGUGACGACGACAAUGAGAGAAGCAAAAGAGGAUUUGUUCGCCUCGGCCGACAACUCUCCAAUUACUGAAGCCUUGAGUAGUGUCACCUGGAGAAGACUGGCCUGGCCUCCCCAGUUUACGUACGUGGCCCUUGACUGUGGGUAUCCGGUGACAGUGGACGAUCCAGUACAGUGACGGGCAGUGGGGACGACAUGGGAAUGUGGGAUAAUCAUGAAUUAGAAAGUUCAAUUAAAUUUAUUGGAUUCACUCCAACUACUGUCUGUCUGAAAAGUGACACACUAUACCCUGUGUUUUGCAGAUUUUUAUGGUCAUAAUUAGUUUGCUUCUCUGUUAUAUACUAUCUGGUAACUCUCUAAGGCCAUGCUGUAAUGUAUAUGAAUACAGUAUUGAAAAGUAACCUUGAAUAAUCAUAAUGUACGUUAACGCUCACAUUUUUAAUGUUGCGUUGGAUAUGUCUUUUAUGGAAUGCUUCUAAUAUGAUCAAGAUAAAAAUAGACUCAUCUAAGGUCA